UACGUAGGGGGCAAGCGUUGUUCGGAAUUACUGGGCGUAAAGGGCGCGUAGGCGGCACGGCAAGUCAGGAGUGAAAGCCCUGGGCUCAACCCAGAAACUGCUUUUGAAACUGCCGAGCUAGAGUGCGGAAGGGGCAACUGGAAUUCCCAGUGUAGCGGUGAAAUGCGUAGAUAUUGGGAAGAACACCUGAGGCGAAGGCGGGUUGCUGGGCCGACACUGACGCUGAGUGCGCGAAAGCCAGGGGAGCGAACGGG
This 254-nucleotide ribosomal RNA is filed under the name uncultured bacterium. RNAcentral describes it as "partial 16S ribosomal RNA". It matches the Rfam family "Bacterial small subunit ribosomal RNA", at positions 524 to 776 of the family's 1533-position model. The record is from RNAcentral.